Long non-coding RNA from Ostrea edulis (European flat oyster), 911 nucleotides. RefSeq lists it as uncharacterized. Lineage: Eukaryota; Metazoa; Mollusca; Bivalvia; Ostreida; Ostreidae. The record is from RefSeq and is a predicted model, not a curated record. The transcript is spliced from 2 exons.
UAACCCACGUGUGUAUUGAAUUAAAAUCCCAACGUGUACACACAGGUCACGUGCUACCCACAGAUGACGCGACCACUAAUUAUAGAAUGCGAUUUAGCCAAGUCAGCUAGUGUCAGUCUUGAAUAAAGAUGAGAGUAUUUGUGAAAUCUGGAACAUUGGGGACAACUGAAUCGCUUAUGGUGGAACCGAGCGAUAUGGUGGAUACAUUAUUCCAAAAGCUGAGCCAUCAGGUAGGAUGUACACCGGAGUGCAUGAAGUUCGUCUUUAAAGGGUGGACUUUAGAAGAAGGCGCGUCUCUCGAGGAUUACGGCAUAACCAACGACUCAACUAUCUUUUCAGUUUUACUACUCCGAGGAAGUUGAUUGUGCUGAAGAAAGUUGACAUGAACAAGAUGAAUUCUGUACAUAAGUUGAUGUCUUAUGAAGCAUUGUAAUCUAAAGACAGACUUAAGAGAGAGAAGCGAGUUUACAUGUAUGUGUUAUAGGAGGUUUCGUUGUUUCGAUGUCGGUUACAGUCAUGUACAUGUACAUAUGUAAUAUAGUAUUUCUGUAAAGCUGAGUAAAAUUCAGUAUGAAAUACAACGUCCAUAAAGUCUGAUAAGGCCUGUUUACAUGAUAAACACACAUGUAGGUGUUGAAUCACAUCACAUUGUGUAUAGCAUGUUCGUAUUAUUGUACACUUUUUUAAUUUGUACACAGUCAAAUUGAAUUUAUUUCUAGUUCAUAAGGAUUUUCAUAAAGGAAAAUCUGUUAAUAUUGACUUUGAGUAAAAUAGAAAAAAUACCAAUGUGUAGUUUUUCAUCAUAUGUAUUACCGUAUUAUAUGUAAGGAUUCAUAAAUGAUAUGAAUGGUUAGUUUCUAUAAAUAAUACUCAAAAUACUGAUUUUGUAUUAAACUUUCAGUUGAAACUUA